This 535-nucleotide long non-coding RNA is filed under the name Vitis vinifera (wine grape). Its description in RNAcentral is "long non-coding RNA (VVIN_LNC005379)". The record is from RNAcentral. Lineage: Eukaryota; Viridiplantae; Streptophyta; Magnoliopsida; Vitales; Vitaceae.
GAAGACAAGAAAGAAGGGAGAGAGCCACCGUUUUUAGUGAGAAAGAAGAGAAGAGAGAAAAAUGCAAGUUUUUCUCAUCAUGCCCAGAUUUCAUCAAAGGUUUGAUCCCACUUCGUCCGUGGUCCGAUCGAGCUGAAAUUUGGAGGAGAGUUUCGUGACUCAUUUAUCUUCAAUCUGAACGGUUAAGAUCGGAUUUGGAGUUUCAGAAAGUCAUUAGAAAGAAAGAGGAGAAGAGAGAAAAACAUAGGUUUUCUCAUCAUGCCCAUAUUUCAUCAAAUGUCCAAUCCCACUUCGUCCGUGGUCCGAUCGAGUUGAAAUUUGAAGGAGAGGUUCGUGGCUCAUGUAUCUUCAAUAUGAACGGUGGAGAUCGGAUUUGGAGUUUUGGACAGUCAUUAGAGAGAAAGAGGAGAAGAGAGAAAAACGUAGGUUUUUCUCAUCAUGCCCAGAUUUCAUCAAAUGUCCGAUCCCGCUUCGUCCGUGGUCCGAUCGAGUUGAAAUUUGAAGGAGAGGUUCAUGGCUCAUGUAUCUUCAAUAU